GACGAACGCUGGCGGCGUGCUUAACACAUGCAAGUCGAGCGGUAAGGCCCUUUCGGGGGUACACGAGCGGCGAACGGGUGAGUAACACGUGGGUGACCUGCCUCUAGCUCUGGGAUAAGCCCGGGAAACUGGGUCUAAUACUGGAUAUGACUCCAUGACGCAUGUUGUGGGGUGGAAAGCCUUGUGCGGCUAGAGAUGGGCCCGCGGCCUAUCAGCUUGUUGGUGGGGGAUGGCCUACCAAGGCGACGACGGGUAGCCGGCCUGAGAGGGCGACCGGCCACACUGGGACUGAGACACGGCCCAGACUCCUACGGGAGGCAGCAGUGGGGAAUCUUGCGCAAUGGGCGAAAGCCUGACGCAGCGACGCCGCGUGAGGGAUGACGGCCUGGU
RNAcentral lists this ribosomal RNA (390 nucleotides) under uncultured bacterium. Its description in RNAcentral is "bacterial SSU rRNA". It matches the Rfam family "Bacterial small subunit ribosomal RNA", at positions 28 to 420 of the family's 1533-position model. The record is from RNAcentral.